Long non-coding RNA from Chionomys nivalis (European snow vole), 1619 nucleotides. RefSeq lists it as uncharacterized. NCBI's taxonomy places the organism in Eukaryota, Metazoa, Chordata, Mammalia, Rodentia, Cricetidae. The record is from RefSeq and is a predicted model, not a curated record. The transcript has 4 exons.
CACAACGGGAAGUGCAGCAGCGCACCGUCUCUGGCCCCCAGAGGAAGACAGGAGCUGGGCUAUUCAGGAGAGGGGCUGUGUACCCCAACUCUGCUGUGACAGGCAGUGCUCCGGCAGGCCAGACCAGGCCUCUCCCUGCAGCUCUCCCUCUAUCCCAGCUUUUUGGAGAGAAAGCAAACAGACCCUUGACCAGAUGGAGCCUUCCUCGCUAAUAAACCUAGCCUAAGGCUGAGACAUGUUCAAGAAGAAGCAGAAAAUUACCUUUCAGGAAGCCAAUGUGAGGGAAGCUGCCAGCUGAGCAGGAGGACUCAUGAGUACUCCCACUUCAUGCCUUCUCUGACAGAUGAAGCUAGGUUCCAGUGCCACCAGCAUUCCUGGCUGUGCUGUAAACUGAACCACUGCCUUCCCUCGUCUCCCCGAGCAACUCCUGAGGUCAUCUCUGGAAUGUCUUCGAGAUUGGAACUUUCCUACCAUCUCCAUGCAGUGGCAGAACCCUGUUUGGUUAUGCAGAGUACAACCUUGGUUCCGGGCUAGGCUGAGGGGUCUCACCAUAUAGCCCUGGCUGGCCUAGAACUCCUAUCUCUGCCUCCUGGAUGCUAGAAUUAAAGUCUUGUGCCAUGAUGCAGGACUCCCAGCCACCAUCUAAAGAUGCCUAGGAGACUCAGUACAGAGAGAAGCAGAGAAGAGAGUGGGAGGCCCGGAAGUGCCUGGAACACACAUCCUACCCAAGGAGCAGAGCCUUGUGGAGGGUAGGCUGAGGGCUGGCCUUCAGUCCUGCUCUGCAGCGGGGCCCACGACCCUGGAGGCAACUCACCUCUCACCUUUUCCACAUCCUGCCUAGCUAUUUACAGCCAUCUUCUCUCUCAAAACUACUUUACUCAUCUUUUUUUCUGAGCUGGACAGACUUGUAAAUUGAAGACAAGAGGACCCCACCUUCGAAUCCAGGAGGCUUCAUGAUAUGACCGUACUUGUCUGGGUCUGCCUGCACCCCUUGUCUUGGGCUGGGUCCUCAGGGUCUGUGAGUCAGGCAGACCUCAACUUGGGGAUCCUAUAAAGCUCAGAGGUCACCUCAAAGUUACUCUCUGCUCUAGGAGAAAUGAGCACUGUGGCAGCAGAGGACAGCUGUACCUUUAAAUGAUCUGGCCACAGAUAGGAAAAACAUUUGCACUCCGUGGCUGUUUGCAUCUUUGGUUAUUUUUAGGGUGAACCCAGUUGCCUCCCCUUGGAACCAGAUGAAGCCCCAGAGGAGGCACGUAGUCCUUUUUCCCAGAUGGGGGGUCCUGCUCCUGCUUCCCUGGGAAUGAAGUCUUGAACACGGCUAUCUGGGGGACCCGCCCCCCAGCGUUACACAGUGCACUCCACUCGGGCUCACUUGAGGGAUCGAGGCACCAAAAGCAUCUUUGCUACUAUUGUGAAAAUCUGCUGCCGACGUCAGGGCCACCUACCUGCACCCAGAGAGCCCCUUGCCACUCCCGGAGUCUGAAGGGAAGACGAUGUGAUGCAAUCCCCUACCUCCAACCAGCAGUCCCAGCUGAUGGGAAUGUCUGGCUGGCGUAUUUCUAGAACAAGCGGCAAUUAGAGGCGAUCUUCUCUCCUGCCCCCCCCUCCCCAAAACAGAA